Molecule: small nuclear RNA, 169 nt
Organism: Phodopus roborovskii (desert hamster)
Lineage: Eukaryota; Metazoa; Chordata; Mammalia; Rodentia; Cricetidae
Product: U1 spliceosomal RNA
Exons: 1
Source: RefSeq, a predicted model, not a curated record
AUACAUAAAACCAGAAAUAUACACAUGUAUAUCAUAUUAAAGGUGGUUUUCUCAGGGUGAGGCUUAUCCAUUGCUCUCCGGAUGUGCUGACCCCUGUGAUUUCCCCAAAUGUGGGAAACUCGACUGCAUAAUUUGUGGUAGUGGGGGACUGCAUUCACGCUCUCCCGUU